This is a non-coding RNA of Pimephales promelas (fathead minnow), 2191 nucleotides long. NCBI's taxonomy places the organism in Eukaryota, Metazoa, Chordata, Actinopteri, Cypriniformes, Leuciscidae. The record is from RefSeq and is a predicted model, not a curated record.
AACAUCACAGACCUGGCGUAUUCCCUGCUGGUGAGCGGGGCUCUGAAGACUCAUCUGUACAAUGUGGCACCAGAGAUGCCAAGUCUAGUGAACUUCCAACAGACCUUCUGUUAUCUGAUGCAGGAGUUCCACAGGUUCUGGAUCGAGGAAGACCCUUGUGACAUCAUGGAGUUUAACCGCGUGCGCACCAAGUUCUACAAGCGCAUCCUGAAGCAGCUGAAGAACCCUGACAUGGCACUGUGUCCUCACUUCACGGCCUCGGACCUUCACCUGGUCAACCUGUAGCUUCUCACUCAUCUCAAAUCUAGUGACACUUCACCUUCUCAUCCUUAAAGCCCAUGUCUCAUUACUGCCAACUGCUCAGCUGGUCUUCUUCUCACACAUUCUCUCACCAAUGUCUCCUUCAGCCUAUCUAACCAGAAACAACUGAAGAUCACCAGCACUGCUGAAGACCAUGUUGAUUGUAUGUGCGCAUGGCAACAGUGCACCUCACAACGAUUGUGAUAUUUACAGCUACUGUAUGCUGAAGUCAGCAUCUGAAUGUGGAUCGGAGGGAGAUUGGACAGGGCUCCCUAUCCACCAGUAGGUCGAGCUGUUGGUACAUAUUAGGUAAGACAGUGAGCUUCAGGCAUGCGAGAGUUUCGACCCACAUCCACCGCAGAAGGCUGCACUGAUACCAGGCACACUUAGAAACAGGUCGCCCUUGUUUGUAGUCAGUAUCAUACUUUUUCAGCUCAUAUAUGACGGAUAACCUUUCUUUACUUAUUGUGAAUCGGUUAAAGGAAUAUCGAAGGUUCAGUGCAAAUUCAGCUCAAUCAACAGCACUUAUGCUAUAAUGUUGAUUACCAAAAAAUAAUAUUAACCUCUCUCUGCUUUUCUUUAAAAAAAAAAAGUAAAAUCUGCUUUUACAGUGAGGUUCACACAGAUUUUGCUGUUAAAAACACGAGGAAUGCCGUGUCAUGUGUGAGACGUUGCAAAAGACGCGAGACAUGAGCGCAACAGUUAAAGAUAUCCGUCUAGCGUGUGUUUAAAAUGAAAAAUAAUGGAAAAUAGGCGUUUUGUGUGAACGGCCCCUUACAAUGAAAUGAAUGGAACCAAUUUGUAAAGUGUAGCACAAGAUGUAAACAAUAUACGUUAACAUGAUUUUAGUGUAAAAAAAAAACAAAACACUUAUUAUUCUUUUCUGUGUUUCAAAUUUUAGAACAUCGGUUAAUACAAUGAUUUAAAUAGCUUGACAACUUUAACUUUAAGUGGUUUUAUAAUAUUGUUAGCCUCAUUUUCUUUUAAAUAGAAAACAAAUGGAAGAGUCAACAUUAUUUUUUGUGCUAAUCAACAUGCUGUUAAUUAACUAACUUGCACUGAACCCGGAAAAAUCCAUUAAACGGAAAUGGUUUCUGCUUGCCGCAUUAACAGAUAAUCAUAAGUUCAUAACCUUCAUCAUGUCAUAUUCUGAAUUCUUCUAUCAAAUACUUACAUAGCCGACUAUUUGUUGCCAAGAAGCAGAGCUUAAAAUUGAAUAUUUACUUGCCAAAUAUGGUAGGAUAAUGUGUGUUUUGUGAAUGUUAUCAUGCAGAGCACAUGAUUGUUUCACAAAUGUAUUAGUGUUGAUGUAAACAAAUGUGGAAUGUUCCAUUGUUCUGUUCUAGCACCAAAGCAAUAAGUGACGUUUAGAACAGUUAGUAGAACAGUCUUGUUUUCUUUUGCACAAGUCGUGCCUCUAUUGUGUUACCAUUGUGAGUGACACUCAUUAGAAUAAUUCAUGUAUAGUUCUAAAGAUUAGUGUGAGUAUUCCAGGCUUUUAUUUGAUCUCUUCUGCAUUUAUUGAACUUUUUUACAGUUGUGUCACAACACAAAUGCAUGUUUCUCUUUUAAGUUAGUCCAUUACCACGAGGUCACAGGGUUUGCAUGAUGAUUUACUUUUUGCCUGCAAAAUAAUUGUGUUAUCAGAAUGUCACUUAAUUUCAAAGUCGUUGCAAUGAAUGUCUAUGCUAUCUGGCAGUGUUAAGCAGCUUCUUUUUAAUAGCUAUUGUUUGAAUUGUGUUUCCACAUGAUUUUUAAUGUGUACAGCGUGUCAUAUAUUUGCCAUUGCAGCACUUUUACAGAUAAAGCACUUGCUGUACAUAAAGCGUUCAAGGUGAAAAACAUUGAAACAUUAUUACAUUAUUAAAGCUCUUCAUUAUGCAUGGCUGAA